AAUUUUUGUAUAGCAUAUGCCUCGAAGUCAUAAAGUCUGUACAUAAGUAAUUUAAAAUACUCAAUAUUACCAUUUAAUUAAAAAUUAAAACGUCAGGUAAAUAUCAGGUCUCUAGUAUAUCCCGUUUUUAGUGUGCCCCUUCGAGUCGACGUCGGACACAUGUUUGUCAUGGUUUACAAACUGAAAAUAGAAUGAUUUGUGAAGUUGAACAUUUUCUCACAAAGAAUCCGUUUGUAGACAUGCACACUCAUUUAAUCUGGAGCUACGAAGUACUUUGUCACUUCUCUGGAACAUUAUUCUAAGCAGAAUUAUCCCGAUUCAUAUAUUCUAAGAAUCUUGUGUGAAUUGUUUACGAGGAAAUGCUGACUGUCACAUUAACAAGGAUAAACACUCUUGACUCUGCUUCGGAUUCCCCAGUGAUAAUUGUAUCGAGUGGUGAAAGAGCUGACGGCGACAUUUUAAUGUAUGAUUGGCUUGGACCAUUGGAAUGAAGUCAUUUCAUGGUGCCACCACUUGGGAUGGUAUUAGCUGCAAAUAUAGACUUGUACUCAGCACUUAUUGCCUUUAAGAAGUACGAGAUCCAUUUUGUGCUAACACCUACCGUGACACAGAAUCUUGGUUUAUGCAGUCUCAUAGGAGUAACCUGUCUAAAGCAUUUAGCAAUGGGAUUGGAACCUGCGACGUGUGACUCAUCUGAAGACUGAAUUUUGAUACCAAGCAUGACCAUGAUUUGCCAGAAGAUCAUCUGUUUGGAUGUGACAUGGAAUAAACAGCAUAGUGAAAAUAAGUCAAGUUUUGGUUUGUGAAGACAAUUUUUAAACACACUGUGUAUCAUUUUUAAAUUUUGAUUUGACAACAUAAAUCCACAAAUAUGAACAUAUCAAUUGCUCUCAGUUUUUCAAGUGAAAUAGUUUUUGUAACAGAAAUACAUGUACCAGUAAUUA
Molecule: long non-coding RNA, 944 nt
Organism: Saccostrea cuccullata (small rock oyster)
Lineage: Eukaryota; Metazoa; Mollusca; Bivalvia; Ostreida; Ostreidae
Exons: 3
Source: RefSeq, a predicted model, not a curated record